GACGAACGCUGGCGGCGUGCCUAAUACAUGCAAGUAGAACGCUGAAGAGAGGAGCUUGCUCUUCUUGGAUGAGUUGCGAACGGGUGAGUAACGCGUAGGUAACCCGCCUUGUAGCGGGGGAUAACUAUUGGAAACGAUAGCUAAUACCGCAUAACAAUGGAUGACACAUGUCAUUUAUUUGAAAGGGGCAAUUGCUCCACUACAAGAUGGACCUGCGUUGUAUUAGCUAGUAGGUGAGGUAACGGCUCACCUAGGCGACGAUACAUAGCCGACCUGAGAGGGUGAUCGGCCACACUGGGACUGAGACACGGCCCAGACUCCUACGGGAGGCAGCAGUAGGGAAUCUUCGGCAAUGGGGGCAACCCUGACCGAGCAACGCCGCGUGAGUGAAGAAGGUUUUCGGAUCGUAAAGCUCUGUUGUAAGUCAAGAACGAGUGUGAGAGUGGAAAGUUCACACUGUGACGGUAGCUUACCAGAAAGGGACGGCUAACUACGUGCCAGCAGCCGCGGUAAUACGUAGGUCCCGAGCGUUGUCCGGAUUUAUUGGGCGUAAAGCGAGCGCAGGCGGUUUGAUAAGUCUGAAGUUAAAGGCUGUGGCUCAACCAUAGUUCGCUUUGGAAACUGUCAAACUUGAGUGCAGAAGGGGAGAGUGGAAUUCCAUGUGUAGCGGUGAAAUGCGUAGAUAUAUGGAGGAACACCGGUGGCGAAAGCGGCUCUCUGGUCUGUAACUGACGCUGAGGCUCGAAAGCGUGGGGAGCGAACAGGAUUAGAUACCCUGGUAGUCCACGCCGUAAACGAUGAGUGCUAGGUGUUGGAUCCUUUCCGGGAUUCAGUGCCGCAGCUAACGCAUUAAGCACUCCGCCUGGGGAGUACGACCGCAAGGUUGAAACUCAAAGGGAUUGACGGGGGCCCGCACAAGCGGUGGAGCAUGUGGUUUAAUUCGAAGCAACGCGAAGAACCUUACCAGGUCUUGACAUCCCGAUGCUAUUUCUAGAGAUAGAAAGUUACUUCGGUACAUCGGUGACAGGUGGUGCAUGGUUGUCGUCAGCUCGUGUCGUGAGAUGUUGGGUUAAGUCCCGCAACGAGCGCAACCCCUAUUGUUAGUUGCCAUCAUUCAGUUGGGCACUCUAGCGAGACUGCCGGUAAUAAACCGGAGGAAGGUGGGGAUGACGUCAAAUCAUCAUGCCCCUUAUGACCUGGGCUACACACGUGCUACAAUGGUUGGUACAACGAGUUGCGAGUCGGUGACGGCAAGCUAAUCUCUUAAAGCCAAUCUCAGUUCGGAUUGUAGGCUGCAAACUCGCCUACAUGAAGUUCGGAAUCGCUAGUAAUCGCGGAUCAGCACGCCGCGGUGAAAUACGUUUCCCGGGCCU
This 1373-nucleotide ribosomal RNA is filed under the name uncultured bacterium. RNAcentral's name for it is "bacterial SSU rRNA". It matches the Rfam family "Bacterial small subunit ribosomal RNA", at positions 28 to 1381 of the family's 1533-position model. The record is from RNAcentral.